Molecule: ribosomal RNA, 229 nt
Filed under: uncultured bacterium
Lineage: Bacteria
Description: partial 16S ribosomal RNA
Rfam family: Bacterial small subunit ribosomal RNA
Source: RNAcentral
CGCGUAGGCGGUCUUGUCGGUCAGAUGUGAAAGCCCAGGGCUCAACCCUGGACGUGCAUUUGAAACAGCAGGACUUGAGUACGGGAGAGGAAAGCGGAAUUCCUGGUGUAGAGGUGAAAUUCGUAGAUAUCAGGAGGAACACCGAUGGCGAAGGCAGCUUUCUGGACCGAUACUGACGCUGAGGCGCGAAGGCGUGGGUAGCGAACAGGAUUAGAUACCCUGGUAGUCC